GACGAACGCUGGCGGCGUGCUUAACACAUGCAAGUCGAACGCUGAAGCACCAGCUUGCUGGUGUGGAUGAGUGGCGAACGGGUGAGUAAUACGUGAGUAACCUGCCCUUGACUCUGGGAUAAGCCCGGGAAACUGGGUCUAAUACUGGAUGCUACAUGUCACCGCAUGGUGGUGUGUGGAAAGGGUUUACUGGUCUUGGAUGGGCUCACGGCCUAUCAGCUUGUUGGUGAGGUAAUGGCUCACCAAGGCGACGACGGGUAGCCGGCCUGAGAGGGUGACCGGCCACACUGGGACUGAGACACGGCCCAGACUCCUACGGGAGGCAGCAGUGGGGAAUAUUGCACAAUGGGCGAAAGCCUGAUGCAGCGACGCCGCGUGAGGGAUGACGGCCUUCGGGUUGUAAACCUCUUUCAGCAGGGAAGAAGCCACAAGUGACGGUACCUGCAGAAGAAGCGCCGGCUAACUACGUGC
Molecule: ribosomal RNA, 471 nt
Filed under: uncultured bacterium
Lineage: Bacteria
Description: partial 16S ribosomal RNA
Rfam family: Bacterial small subunit ribosomal RNA
Source: RNAcentral